Molecule: ribosomal RNA, 559 nt
Filed under: Hydraena nigrita
Lineage: Eukaryota; Metazoa; Arthropoda; Insecta; Coleoptera; Hydraenidae
Description: eukaryotic LSU rRNA
Rfam family: Eukaryotic large subunit ribosomal RNA
Source: RNAcentral
CAGGAGUCUAGCAUGUGCGCGAGUCAUUGGGACUUGCAAAACCUAAAGGCGAAAUGAAAGUGAAGGCGCGCCUUGCGCGCGCCGAGGGCGUCUCAUUCUCAUUGCGAGAGGGGGCGCACCUAGAGCGUACACGCUGGGACCCGAAAGAUGGUGAACUAUGCCUGGUCAGGACGAAGUCAGGGGAAACCCUGAUGGAGGUCCGUAGCGAUUCUGACGUGCAAAUCGAUCGUCGGAACUGGGUAUAGGGGCGAAAGACUAAUCGAACCAUCUAGUAGCUGGUUCCCUCCGAAGUUUCCCUCAGGAUAGCUGGCGCUCGCUGUGUGCGAGUCUCAUCCGGUAAAGCGAAUGAUUAAAGGCAUUGGGGUCGAAACGGCCCCAACCUAUUCUCAAACUUUAAAUGGGUGAGAUCUCCGGCUUGCUGGAACUAUGAAGCCGCGAGACCUCGGAUCAGAGUGCCAAGUGGGCCACUUUUGGUAAGCAGAACUGGCGCUGUGGGAUGAACCAAACGCCGAGUUAAAGCGCCCAAAUCGACGCUUAUGGGAUACCAUGAAAGGCGUUG